CAUGAAUGUGUUUUGUCUCUUUCAGGAGGUCCCCACCCUCAGUGUGCCCGUGGUUCAGGGUGAAUGCCUCCUCAAGUACCAGCUCCGUCCCAGGAGGGAGUGGCAGAGGGAUGCCAUUAUUACUUGCAAUCCUGAGGAAUUCAUAGUUGAGGCGCUGCAGCUUCCCAACUUCGAGCAGAGCGUGCAGGAGUACAGGAGGAGUGCGCAGGACGGCCCAGCCCUAGCAGAGAAAAGAAGUCAGUACCCAGAAAUCAUCUUCCUUGGAACAGGGUCUGCCAUCCCGAUGAAGAUUCGAAAUGUCAGUGCCACACUUGUCAACAUAAGCCCCAACACGUCUCUGCUACUGGACUGUGGUGAGGGCACGUUUGGGCAGCUGUGCCGUCAUUACGGAGACCAGGUGGACAGAGUCCUGGGCACCCUGGCUGCUGUGUUUGUGUCCCACCUGCACGCAGAUCACCACACGGGCUUGCUAAAUAUCUUGCUGCAGAGAGAACGAGCCUUGGCAUCUUUGGGAAAGCCACUUCACCCUUUGCUGGUGAUUGCCCCCAGCCAGCUCAAAGCCUGGCUCCAGCAGUACCACAACCAGUGCCAGGAGGUCCUGCACCACAUCAG
Molecule: small RNA, 612 nt
Filed under: Pongo abelii (Sumatran orangutan)
Lineage: Eukaryota; Metazoa; Chordata; Mammalia; Primates; Hominidae
Description: retained intron
Source: RNAcentral